Molecule: non-coding RNA, 225 nt
Organism: Vicia faba (fava bean)
Lineage: Eukaryota; Viridiplantae; Streptophyta; Magnoliopsida; Fabales; Fabaceae
Source: the annotation of a GenBank genome assembly
UUAAAAAACACUUCAAGAGUACAUUUGUUUUUGUUACUACCAAUUGUCGUUUUAUUGUUCCAACCCUAUUUCCUUCAAAUAUUUGACCGUUACUUCAUUUCAACGUCUCUCCACAUUCCCUUCUCUCUGAUCAAAGCUUCACCAAUUUCCCACUCUCCUUCUUCAGAUAACAGAUUUGUGAAGAUUUAUAGAAGUGAGUUCUUUGAUUUUCAUUUCAAAUGCUAA